CAAUAGCGUAUAUUUAAGUUGCUGCAGUUAAAAAGCUCGUAGUUGGAUUUCGGGUGGGAAUGGCCGGUCCGCCGUUUCGGUGUGCACUUGCUACGCCCACCUUGCUGCCGGGGACGUGCUCUUGAGUUCACGCUCGGGACACGGAGUCGGCGAGGUUACUUUGAGUAAAUUAGAGUGUUCAAAGCAGGCCUACGCUCUGAAUACAUUAGCAUGGAAUAACACGAUAGGACUCUGGCCUAUCUUGUUGGUCUGUAGGACCGGAGUAAUGAUUAAGAGGGACAGUCGGGGGCACUCGUACUUCAUUGUCAGAGGUGAAAUUCUUGGAUUUAUGAAAGACGAACUACUGCGAAAGCAUUUGCCAAGGAUGUUUUCAUUAA
Molecule: ribosomal RNA, 377 nt
Filed under: uncultured eukaryote
Lineage: Eukaryota
Description: partial 18S ribosomal RNA
Rfam family: Eukaryotic small subunit ribosomal RNA
Source: RNAcentral